RNAcentral lists this long non-coding RNA (241 nucleotides) under Phasianus colchicus (ring-necked pheasant). Its description in RNAcentral is "lncRNA (ENSPCLG00000001848.1)". The record is from RNAcentral. Lineage: Eukaryota; Metazoa; Chordata; Aves; Galliformes; Phasianidae.
AAGGAUAGUUGUACCUACUCUAAACAGCCAGUAAAUCUGAGAAGACAAAAACUUAGGAUGUACAGAAAUCUAAAGAAUAAGGGAAGACUGAAGGUCUAAAACAGCCUUAAAGGAACAGCUGUGGGAGAAAACAAGGAGAAGCUGAGGCAUCAUGUUGAAAUGGAGCAAAGGGAACUAAUUUGAGCUAUCCAAUUGUACAACACUUCUGAACUGCAGUUUCUGAAGCCUACAGUAAUUUAAC